AGUGAGCGCUGGCGGUAGGCCUAACACAUGCAAGUCGAACGGCAGCACAGUAAGAGCUUGCUCUUACGGGUGGCGAGUGGCGGACGGGUAAGGAAUACAUCGGAAUCUACUUUUUCGUGGGGGAUAACGUAGGGAAACUUACGCUAAUACCGCAUACGACCUACGGGUGAAAGCAGGGGAUCUUCGGACCUUGCGCGAUUGAAUGAGCCGAUGUCGGAUUAGCUAGUUGGCGGGGUAAAGGCCCACCAAGGCGACGAUCCGUAGCUGGUCUGAGAGGAUGAUCAGCCACACUAGAACUGAGACACGGUCCAGACUCCUACGGGAGGCAGCAGUGGGGAAUAUUGGACAAUGGGCGCAAGCCUGAUCCAGCCAUACCGCGUGGGUGAAGAAGGCCUUCGGGUUGUAAAGCCCUUUUGUUGGGAAAGAAAAGCAGCAGGUUAAUACCCCGCUGUUCUGACGGUACUCAAAGAAUAAGCACCGGCUAACUUCGUG
Molecule: ribosomal RNA, 492 nt
Filed under: uncultured bacterium
Lineage: Bacteria
Description: partial 16S ribosomal RNA
Rfam family: Bacterial small subunit ribosomal RNA
Source: RNAcentral